AGUUAUGGUUUCUUUGAUGGUACCUUGCUACUUGGAUACCCGUAGUAAUUCUAGAGCUAAUACAUGCAGGACUGCCCGACUUCGGAAGGGCUGUAUUUAUUAGAUAAGAAACCAUCUCGGGUCCGCCCGGUUGUGUGCUGAGUCAUAAUAACUGCUCGAAUCGCACGGCUCUACGCCGGCGAUGGUUCAUUCAAAUUUCUGCCCUAUCAGCUUUCGAUGGUAGGAUAGAGGCCUACCAUGGCGUUAACGGGUAACGGAGAAUUAGGGUUCGAUUCCGGAGAGGGAGCCUGAGAAAUGGCUACCACAUCCAAGGAAGGCAGCAGGCGCGUAAAUUGCCUGAAUCCUGACACAGGGAGGUAGUGACAAGAAAUAACAAUACAGGGCUACUUCUAGUCUUGUAAUUGGAAUGAGUACAACUUACAUCUCUUCACGAGGAUCAAU
This 441-nucleotide ribosomal RNA is filed under the name Phaeocystis antarctica. RNAcentral's name for it is "SSU rRNA". It matches the Rfam family "Eukaryotic small subunit ribosomal RNA", at positions 108 to 548 of the family's 1831-position model. Lineage: Eukaryota; Haptophyta; Phaeocystales; Phaeocystaceae. The record is from RNAcentral.